This 468-nucleotide ribosomal RNA is filed under the name uncultured bacterium. Its description in RNAcentral is "partial 16S ribosomal RNA". It matches the Rfam family "Bacterial small subunit ribosomal RNA", at positions 28 to 507 of the family's 1533-position model. The record is from RNAcentral.
GAUGAACGCUGGCGGCGUGCUUAACACAUGCAAGUCGAACGGAAAGGCCCUGCUUUUGUGGGGUGCUCGAGUGGCGAACGGGUGAGUAACACGUGAGUAACCUGCCCUUGACUUUGGGAUAACUUCAGGAAACUGGGGCUAAUACCGGAUAGGAGCUUCUGCUGCAUGGUGGGGGUUGGAAAGUUUCGGCGGUUGGGGAUGGACUCGCGGCUUAUCAGCUUGUUGGUGGGGGAGUGGCUUACCAAGUCUUUGACGGGUAGCCGGCCUGAGAGGGUGACCGGCCACAUUGGGACUGAGGUACGGCCCAGACGCGUACGGGAGGCAGCAGUGGGGAAUAUUGCACAGUGGGCGGAAGCCUGAUGCAGCAACGCCGCGUGCGGGAUGACGUCCUUCUGGGUGUAAACCUCUGUCGCCUGUAACGAAGCGUGAGUGACGGUAAUGGGUAAAGAAGCACCGGCUAACUACGUG